UAUGUAGGCGGGCUUUUAAGUCGGGUGUGAAAUCCCACGGCUCAACCGUGGAAUUGCAUUCGAAACUGGAAGUCUUGAGUGUGGGAGAGAUUGGUAGAAUACCUGGUGUAGUGGUGAAAUACGUAGAUAUCAGGUGGAACACCGGUGGCGAAGGCGGCCAAUUGGCCAACACUGACGCUGAGAUACGAAAGCGUGGGGAUCAACA
Molecule: ribosomal RNA, 205 nt
Filed under: uncultured bacterium
Lineage: Bacteria
Description: partial 16S ribosomal RNA
Rfam family: Bacterial small subunit ribosomal RNA
Source: RNAcentral